CAACGGUCCCAUCCGGCCAGGGUGUCAAGGCGGGAGCGCGGCGGCGGCCUCUGCGGAUGGACGUCGCGGGAAGAGGGAAACCUUUCAGAAGAACUAGAUGCUGUUAAGCCUGGCCUGGUGGUGGGGCUUUCCCUCUGACCCACAGAAUGGCAGAGGCAGAGUCAUCUCCUGAGCUUCCGUUACAAAAAUAUAAACAAAGGUAGCUGUUGACAUUCCAGCCAUCUCUACUGGUCUUUACCACGUCCUUCCAGCUAAAAGCCCGUUAAUGCAGAAUGGCUUCCGUAAGAAGGACCGGCCAUCCCACGCACAGUAUUUUUGGUGAUUUUAGUGAUAUUUCCUUAGAAGAUUCGAAAAUGGAAGAAAUCAGAAACUUGAAAAUCGGUAGAAGUCUUACCAAAAUAGCACCCGGUCACAGCAGAUUUCUCAAAGGAAACCAAAGUAUGGGUGUAAAACACUCACUCCUGAAAGAGAAUACUGUCGUGGGGGGUGGGCACAGGCUGUCUUCAGAGAGACCCCCGACCACUGCCUCGAAGCUCAGAACAAGCGCUGCGCUCACAAAGCUGGCCCGGUUGGAAACCAAGAUCAUGAAUCGGAAGGCGCAGAUGGACUUGUCUGACGUGGCACAUGAUCUGACGACCUCCGAGGACAGUCUUCUGAGGAGCGCACGUUCAGCGCUUCCCAGGAGCACAGUUGAGCUUCCUUCCCACAGCCCAGAUAAAACCCAGAAGCAAGCCCGUGAGGUUCCCAUGGCCGAGAGCCACACACAGGGUGGGAAGGUCAGUCGGUUUCUAAAGAAGAGGGAACCACCCAUUGAAAAUCGAUUCCCUGAAGCACAUUUUGGAAAAGAGAGGAGUUUCCAAACACCCAAAGAGAAAAAGCCUACUAGAAAACUAGAUUCUCCAGACAGCGAUGAGGAGGAAAUGAAAGAGUUGCUAGGAAGCUUGAUAGAAUCUUCUAUAGAAAAGGAAACAUACAUGAAUCAGCGUUUCAUCAGCUCCAAAGUCAGUGAGAAAGAACAAACAAAACUAUUCUCGGAUCAGAUCCCAACUCAACCAAAGGUCCUUUCAUUACCCAGUGAGGAACAUUCUAGCCCAAAGCCAUUCCGGACAUCGCGUCUGCCAGCCUCACAGCCAGCAGAUGGGACCCUUUGCAGGGUGCGCUCAACAGCUCGCCCCCCACGGCCUCGCACUUCAGGGGACGCAGCUGCCCGCACAGCAUCGCCAUCCAUCGCUGGCACCUUCUCAAAGUCGGCCUCGCGGAUGCCACAUGGCAAGCUCUCUUCCCCUGAAAGGAGUGAGCCUGAGCCUCGUGACGAGUCGCCCUCAGAAGCUGCCGACGACAGCCUGAACGAUUUUCGAAUCAAUCUUUUAUCCCUCGAUGAUCUGGCUCCAGCUGUCAGUGAGAACUCAGACUUGGAACAGGAAAAAGAAGGCCAGCGGGUAAGGGCAUCCAGCCGAAGUCCCCAGGACACCACUGGAAGUGAGGUGUCUGAGCACCUGAGCGAGCCAUCACCUUCCUCGGCCGGGCCUGAGGGUGCUUCCAGCCCGAGGCCAGCAUCUCCGGUGCCCAUAGCCAGCACAGCGAGCUCAGUCUAUGCGGAGGAUUUUGAGCAGUCCCCAGAUCUGACAGCCUCCGAGUCAGGGGCCCGUUCCGAGUGUCCUGACGGGACACUGGGCACUCUGUCGGAAUUCUCUGCAAGCCUGGAGGGAGAUGUUCCCCCGCCAACGCUCAAGCCUUGGAAAAAGCGGGUCAGGGACGUUACAAGAGUCGUCAUGAAGGAGACGGCUGUGCAGACCCUCGAGCCCGCCUUCACCUACCAGUGGGCGGAGGGGGCCAGCGUGGCGGCCAUCGGGCCAGCCCUGGGAGGUGCCUAUGUGGACCCCGUGCCCAUUGCCAGUCACGUUAUCAGCGCGGACUCCAUAGAAGCCCUGACAGCUUACAGCCCGGCGGCGUUGGCGCUCAACGACAUGCUGAAGCAGCAGCUGAGCCUGACGCGGCAAUUCGUGGAGGCCACCCGGCACCUGCACGUGUCCCUCCUGCAGACCCUGGACCGAGACUCCUUCCACUACCACACCCUGGAGGAAACCAAACAGUACAUCAGGCACCACAGGCCUGCCCCGCUGUCCAUGGAGGAUGCCCUGGAGGAGGUAAAGAAGGAGCUUUGAGUACCGGAGGUGAGGCGGGAUUCGUGGCUUUGAGCCGACAAGCUGGUCCGGUACACCGGCUGUGACACACGUUGGUCUCCAGGCCCAGCUCAGAGACCACAUCACCUUUCUGAGAAAUCCACCUGCCGUCAGCCGCUGGACAAAGUGGCUUCCCAGGGCCAGGAUCAAGAGGACCGCACCUCAACCCCAGCCCGGCCCAGCCCGCUGCGCGUGGCCACCGAACUUGGGGCGCCGGGAGGGAAACGUGGAUCAGGCAAGGAGGGCGUGGCCUUGCUCGUUUCUGCCCCAGGAAUUCAAGUCAAGGGCGACAGAGUGUUGGCACUGUGCUAGCUGAGCCAGUUACAGACGGGGCAGAAACCAUUCACCUGGCUGUACUUCACCCUCUGAGGUUCCCCAGCCCUCACCCAACAUGGGGACCGAUGUCCCCAAGGAGCCCGGACGGUCAGCAUCGGGAUGGGUGUGAACACCUGACUUGCCUUGUUCUGCCCCUGCCCCCCAGGAAUACAGGGCUGGUCUCUCUCCCCCACAUGCCCUGCCCAGGGCCCCGCUGCAGAACCUCCGGUUGCCCCAGCAAGCCACGAAAAGCCAAACCCACCCACACAGGACACGGCCCACCCACGCCCACCUGGGAAAAUACCUGCUGCUGGCCCCAAGGAGCCACAGGAUGAGGCUGGUCAAACCAUGGGGGCUUGUUAGGUGGGAUC
This is an RNA transcript of Hyaena hyaena (striped hyena), 2869 nucleotides long. It is a transcript of the gene named chromosome unknown C19orf44 homolog, with no coding region annotated. Lineage: Eukaryota; Metazoa; Chordata; Mammalia; Carnivora; Hyaenidae. The transcript has 11 exons. The record is from RefSeq and is a predicted model, not a curated record.